RNAcentral lists this long non-coding RNA (2330 nucleotides) under Mus musculus (house mouse). Its description in RNAcentral is "long non-coding RNA chr14:15452841-15455171". The record is from RNAcentral. Lineage: Eukaryota; Metazoa; Chordata; Mammalia; Rodentia; Muridae.
AAGCCUUGACAUCAUGUUAGGGGUGAAUAAGAAGACCCUGCAAGGGUCAAGAAAAGUGGGUUUAAAGUGCCUUGGAUAUUAUGUGUGCUCAUUUAGAGAAGCUGCCUACCAGAUCUACCUGUCACUGCUGUGACAAGGGGAUCUCUAUGUACCACAGCUCCAAUUGUACAGAGAAACAGAUGUGGCAUGGUGACACCAUCCCCAGCAGUGCAAACAACUGCCUGAUGUCAACUGCAAGCCUAACUCUGUGGAACCAUAUUGCCCAAAACAGGCCCUCAGAGAAACCACACACAUACAGUAGGAGUCUGUACCCCUCAACAGCCCUCUGAAAACAGAAAACCACAAGAGCUCAUUUGGAGUAUUAGGGACCUAGUAGCACAUUGUGUCUAUUAAAAUGAUUUCAAGACUGGGAGAAAUCAGUCUUAUAAUUUAUGGUUAUUAUGGUGAGUUGCUAGAAGAAAAACUAACUUAUGGUACUACUAAUAGGUUGUUUUGAAAUCAUUAGCCAUUUGAUAUUCAGUAGAAGAAAUUUUACAUAAAGACAGCCUUGGAUAAUUGAGUUUUUGUUCCUAACUUGUGUUAACAGAACCUGAUAUUUAUGAUCAAGAUUCAAGACUCAAUCUUAUAUUCCUAAUCCAAGAAGCCAUAGAAUUCUGAGAGAUUCAGUGGUUUUCCCAAGUUCACAUAUUUACAGGUAGCACCAAGGCCACUGUUUUUGUUAGAAUUUUCUUUUGCUGCGAUGAAAUAUCAUGACCAAAACCAACUUGGGGAGAAAAGGGUAUAUUUUAUUUUAUAACUCCUAAAUAACACUCCAUCACUGAAUGAAGUCUUGACAAGAAUGGAAGCAGAAAACAAAGAGAAAUGCUGUUUACUGGCUUGUGCUUCUUCAUGACUUAUGGCUUAUUUAGCCUUUCUCAUACCACCCAGGACCAUUUGUCCAGGGGCACCACUGUCCCCAGCGGGCUUGCCCCUCCUACAUCAAUUUUUAAAAAUAUUUUUAUCAUAUAUUUUCUUCAUUUACAUUUCAAAUGCUAUCCCGAAAGUCCCCUAUACCCUCCCCCCACAUCAAUUAUUAAUCAAGAAAAUGCACUACAGACUUACCCACAGGCCAAUCUGAUGGAGGCAUUUUUUCAACUGAGGUUCCUCUUCCCAAAGGACUCUAUCUUGUGUCAGGUUGAUGUAAAAUUAGCCAACACAUCCACUAUAGCCACUUUGACUGAGAGCAGUGAUUCUUAGCUGGUCACAGUUUUAACCUCCAGGGAUCACCAGAUAAUGAUUAGAGGCCAUUUGUUGUUGUUGUUGUUGUUGUUGUUGUUGUUGUUAUAGUAGGAAGAGAGUUAGUCUUUGUCUCUGUCUCUGUCUCUCUCUGCCUCUCUGUCUCUCUCUGUCUCUGCCUCUCUCUGAACCUCCCAGGUGGAAGCUAGUGUGACACAAAUUCCUGCCAUAUGCAAAAUGUCACUCAUCUCUGCAGUGUCACUUUUAAUUGCAAAAGCUUACAGGCAGACACAUAAAUUCUCUCACCAAUACACCCUUUCUCAAGGCCCCUACUACAAAGAUAAACUUGCUCCUGUGUUAGUCUAACAUGUUCUUAUGAACAAAAUCAAGAGCAGCAAAAAUAAUAGAUCUGAAAGUUUUCUAUGACCUUUCACUUCCAUUUCUACUCUUAACAGUUCCUUUCCAGUGUCAGCAAUGUGUUUUCAGCUCUGCUUUUACUCUGUGAUCCCAACCCAGUUACUGCCAACCUCACGUAGUUCUUACCAGUCCACCCCUUCUUAGCAUUAAUAUCUCCACUACGUAGCCCCUUCUCCAGAUCUUUUGUAUUUUAAGCUUGUCUCAAACUUUCUAUCUAGCAGAGGGUUUCCUUGGGCUUCUGAUUCUCCUGAUUCCAAGCCUGAGUUUUGGGAAUGUAUAUAUUGUGCUGUCAUUUCUGAUUUAAGGAUCACUUGGGAUUAAAGUCAGGGCUUCAUUCAUAACAGAAUAGCAUACCACCAACUAAACUACAGUCUGGGCUUCUCUAUUUUUACCUCAGAACUCAUAUGGUCUGUGUUCUGCUUCUCAGUCCCAGUCACUUUCUUCCUUUCUUAGUUGUCCAGUGGGACUAACAACAUAUGCCAAUGCACAGAGACCACAUUGGGGGAAUACAUGCAGUAGCAUGCUGCAGGCACUGAGUAUCUGGAGACAAAGGGGACAAUUUUUCUGCAGCUGAAAUAUUGUAAAGAUGAUUAACCUAAGCUAUUUUUGAAUCUGAGCCAGAGUGCAGAAAAUACUUUCUACUCUGUGUGUUCUCUGUGUUCCAUUCACUGACCUGGGUGACCAGGACCGGCCAACCA